Molecule: ribosomal RNA, 255 nt
Filed under: uncultured bacterium
Lineage: Bacteria
Description: partial 16S ribosomal RNA
Rfam family: Bacterial small subunit ribosomal RNA
Source: RNAcentral
CGGAGGGGCGUAGCGUUGUUCGGAAUUACUGGGCGUAAAGCGCACGUAGGCGGACUGGAAAGUUGGGGGUGGAAAUCCCGGGGCUCAACCUCGGAACUGCCUUCAAAACUAUCGGUCUGGAGUUCGAGAGAGGUGAGUGGAAUUCCGAGUGUAGAGGUGAAAUUCGUAGAUAUUCGGAGGAACACCAGUGGCGAAGGCGGCUCACUGGCUCGAUACUGACGCUGAGGUGCGAAAGCGUGGGGAGCAAACAGGAUU